Long non-coding RNA from Lates calcarifer (barramundi perch), 1893 nucleotides. RefSeq lists it as uncharacterized. NCBI's taxonomy places the organism in Eukaryota, Metazoa, Chordata, Actinopteri, Centropomidae. The record is from RefSeq and is a predicted model, not a curated record. The transcript has 7 exons.
CGUUAUCGGCCAUGACGGGGAGGAGCGCAGAGAGGCGGAGAAAGGAAGUCGAAAACAGAAAAACCAACCUUUGAACCGUUGUCUCGGUUUGUCAGUACUGUGAGAAAAGUUAAUUACCGAAGAAGCUUGGAUACUAAAAUAAGCUUUGGAGCUGCUUUUUUGUCUUACACGAGUGAGGCUGGACGCUGAAUACAACUGUGGCGCGAAGGUCUACUUGUUCUGCUGCAGCUUGGACAGAGACACCAACAUCACCUUACAGACGAACAGGCGUCACCACUUCGUCCACAACAUCGUCCACGAUCGCAGAGACUUCGUCCACGAUCGGAGAGACAUUGUUGAGGAUGAGGGAGACAUCGUCCAUGAUCAGACAUUGUCCAUGAUCGCAGAGACCUUGUCAAAGAUGAGAGAGACGUUGUCCGUGAUCAGAGACAUUGUCCCAUGCUUCGUAGAGACCUUGCGAUAGAAUCGGCGGAGACGGGGGUCACCGAUUUGACGGCACUGCCUGCGAUCAUGGAGACAUUGUCGAUGAUCACAGAGGCACCGUCUAUGAUCUCAGAGACAUCAUCCACGAUCACAAAGUCAUUGUCCAUGAUCACAGAGACUUUGUCCAUAAUCUCAGAGACAUUGUCCGCGAUCACAGAGAGUCUUUGUACACUGAAAAAGUGCUUUCAGACCAGGACUGAGGCCUCCAGGUGACACCACUUUGUCCACAACAUCGUCCACGAUCGCAGAGACUUCGUCCAUGAUCGGAGAGACAUUGUUGAGGAUGAGGGAGACAUCGUCCAUGAUCAGAGACAUUGUCCAUGAUCGCAGAGACCUUGUCAAAGAUGAGAGAGAUGUUGUCCAUGAUCAGAGACAUUGUCCAAUGCUUCGUAGAGACCUUGCGAUAGAAUCGGCGGAGACGGGGGUCACCGAUUUGACGGCACUGCCCGCGAUCAUGGAGACAUUGUCGAUGAUCACAGAGACACCGUCUAUGAUCUUAGAGACAUCGUCCACGAUCAUAAAGUCAUUGUCCAUGAUCACAGAGACUUUGUCCAUAAUCUCAGAGACAUUGUCCGCGAUCACAGAGAGUCUUUGUACACUGAAGAAGUUCUUUCAGACCAAGACUGAGGCCUCCAGGUGACAUCACUUUGUCCACAACAUCGUCCACAAUCGUAGGGACUUCGUCCAUGAUCGGAGAGACAUUGUUGAGGAUGAGGGAGACAUCGUCAAUAAUCAGAGACAUUGUCCAUGAUCGCAGAGACCUUGUCAAAGAUGAGAGAGACGUUGUCCAUGAUCAGAGACAUUGUCCCAUGCUUCGUAGAGACCUUGCGAUAGAAUCGGCGGAGACGGGGGUCACCGAUUUGACGGCACUGCCCGCGAUCAUGGAGACAUUGUCGAUGAUCACAGAGACACCGUCUAUGAUCUCAGAGACAUCGUCCACGAUCACAAAGUCAUUGUCCAUGAUCACAGAGACUUUAUCUAUAAUCUCAGAGACAUUGUCUGCGAUCGCAGAGAUGUAGCCCAUGAUCACAGAGAUGUUGUGCACGAUCGCAGAGAGUCUUUGUACAAUGAAGUUGUUUGAGACGAGGACAGAGGCUUCCAGGUGUCACCACUUCAUCAACAUCAUUGUUUAUGAUUGCUGAGACGUCGUCCACGUUUCUAGUCAUUGUCCAUGAUCAGAAACAUUGUCCAUCAUUGCAGAGACAUUAUCCACGAUCACAAAGACAUUGUCCAUGAUCGCAGAGACAUUGUCCAUGAUUUCAAAAAUAAGGAGGAGAGGACCGCAUCACAUGAAGAGGACAACAAAAGUAGUCAAAUAUUCUUCAAGAUGUUAAGAGAUGUGUAAGACUUAAAUCAGCAUAUUCUUAUGUGCUCAUUAUUACAUUAAAUGUGGAUUCAGAGAAUAAAACA